GUUUAAUCCCUCUCCGUGUCACCCAAAGUAUGCCCGGGCAGAUGCACCCUGGGGUCCUCCUGGAGCCGAGGAAUACUUGAGAGCGCUGCGCCCCUUUGCCACCUCAGAUGACCUCCGCCUGAGCUCUGUGCCCAUGGGCCUGGACCCCGCGGCUGCUCACGCUGCUGCUGCUGCCUACUAUCACCACCCGGCCUACCUGCCCCACCCUCUGUCUCUACAAAGGUAAAGCGCCUCCCUCUCCUGUCUCUACAGAGGUAAACAGCCUAUCUGCCUGAUGGUGAAAAACAUGUUAGAAAAUCAGUUUGAAGCCUCAAGGUUCAGAAAAUAUAAAGUUUGAAAUUACUUUUCUAAUCCAUUUUAUGAUAGCUGUUUGAAAAAAUAGGGAUUUCAGUGUAAGUCUAUGGAGUCAAGGCUCCCACAACGCCAAUACAUUCUAGUAACUUUGCAACAGAAAGUUGCCAAUGAAAGGGUUAAAAUAUUUUUUAAAGUAAUGUUAUUUGUAUGAUUGAGGGUAAAUGAAUCUAUUUCAUUGAUACCAUACUAACAUACCUGUUUUAUACCAUACUAAUGAUCCAGUUGACAUGCCUAAAGCUUCGGCCGUAACAUUACUGGGUUUUGUUUACUGCAGAAUGGAGGAGUCCCUGUGUCUCUCUGCCUUGCGUGCGCCAUUCUACUCCAUGCCUGGAGGGGCGCCUUCCCUUCCCUGCACCCUUCAGCCCUGCACCUGCACAUGCCUGGGAGCCGCUACUCCGCGGAGCUCAACCAUUCUGCACUCGCUGAGAGGCUGCAGAUGGAGAACGAGCUGCGCCAGCGAGAGCACGAGCGCGAACGAGAACGAGAGAAGGAGAGGGAGCGUGGAGCCAAGGGAGCGGAGAGGGAGGAGGAGGCGGACAGACAGAGGCAGCACAGGCACAGGGACAGACAGCAGCAGAUGGUCCGAGGAGCCGACAGCCACUACCUGGCCGAGCUGCAGGCUCGCAGGGCACCGCCGGAGGACAGGCCGCGGCCCGGGGACAGGCUGACCCCAAACAGACCUGAUAAAGCCAAGGAGUCUGAACAUUUAGGUUUCACUGCGCCCAAACCACUGUCACUGCAAUCCAGCCUGCACUCAUCCAGGGGCUCUGUGCCACACCCAGUACCCAGCCUGGUGCCCUCGCACAUGGGCAAGCAUCACGGCGCGCUGGCAGCUGCCAUGAUGACUCAGAGGAUGAGUGAGGAUGUGUGGCUGACACGGCACAGAGGGCAGGAGCGAGGGCAGGAGCGAGGGCAGGAGCGAGGCAGGAGCGAGGGCAGGAGCGGGCAGGAGCGAGGGCAGGAGCGAGGCAGGAGCGAGGGCAGGAGCGAGGGCAGGAGCGAGGGCAGGAGCGAGGGCAGGACCUGCGCUCUCCAGGGAAAGGAGCCGAGCCUUGGAGAGAAACUCACAGGUAGGAAGAGUCUUCUGUUCUUGGUACUCUUUACCAAAGACAGAACUGUCAUGCCCGUCUGUGAUUUCCCAUUUCAGAGCCAACUCUGUUCAUGUGAAUUCACACAGCAAGGACAGCCCUCUCUCCCUGGGCGCACCGCCUCCGCUCAUCUCUCCGAAAGGUCCGUCUAA
This is a long non-coding RNA of Neogobius melanostomus (round goby), 1594 nucleotides long. The record is from Ensembl. Lineage: Eukaryota; Metazoa; Chordata; Actinopteri; Gobiiformes; Gobiidae.